This 253-nucleotide ribosomal RNA is filed under the name uncultured bacterium. RNAcentral's name for it is "partial 16S ribosomal RNA". It matches the Rfam family "Bacterial small subunit ribosomal RNA", at positions 524 to 776 of the family's 1533-position model. The record is from RNAcentral.
UACGUAGGUGGCAAGCGUUAUCCGGAAUUAUUGGGCGUAAAGCGUGCGCAGGCGGUUUCUUAAGUCUGACGUGAAAGCCCACGGCUCAACCGUGGAGGGUCAUUGGAAACUGGGGAACUUGAGUGCAGAAGAGAAAAGCGGAAUUCCACGUGUAGCGGUGAAAUGCGUAGAGAUGUGGAGGAACACCGGUGGCGAAGGCGGCGGCCUGGUCCAUUACUGACGCUGAGGCGCGACAGCGUGGGGAGCAAACAGG